This 487-nucleotide ribosomal RNA is filed under the name uncultured soil bacterium. Its description in RNAcentral is "bacterial SSU rRNA". It matches the Rfam family "Bacterial small subunit ribosomal RNA", at positions 26 to 507 of the family's 1533-position model. The record is from RNAcentral.
AGAUUGAACGCUGGCGGAAUGCUUUACACAUGCAAGUCGAGCGGCAGCGCGGGGCAACCUGGCGGCGAGCGGCGAACGGGUGAGUAAUGCAUCGGAACAUGCCCAUGUCGUGGGGGAUAGCCCGGCGAAAGCCGGAUUAAUACCGCAUACGCCCGAGAGGGGAAAGUGGGGGACCGCAAGGCCUCACGCGAUUGGGUUGGCCGAUGUCCGAUUAGCUAGUUGGCGGGGUAAAGCCCACCAAGGCGAUGAUCGGUAGCUGGUCUGAGAGGAUGAUCAGCCACACUGGGACUGAGACACGGCCCAGACUCCUACGGGAGGCAGCAGUGGGAAUUUGGACAAUGGGGGCAACCCUGAUCCAGCCAUUCCGCGUGAGUGAAGAAGGCCUUCGGGUUGUAAAGCUCGUUUUGUCCGGAACGGAAACGGUUACGUGUAAGUAUCGUGACCUACUGACGGUACCGGAAGAAUAAGACACCGGCUAACCUACGUG